UACCUGCAACAAAAGAUGACCAAAACUCAAGCGCAGAGGCAACGACUUACCUUGAACAGGGAGCAGUUCAUGAUGGUUGUUCCUCGUUGGUGCUAUGGAAGGCAUGAUGGAUGGGCGAGUUUGGUGGAUAGGUGGCUCGACGACGAUGCAGAGUUUGCUGCCAAGAGCAUCAAGGCCCGGGCUAACCGUGGAAAAGACGGCACACACGACCAAGGAAACAGGAACCACUGGGGCUUCAAGUUGCAGGAGGACAAGUUGAAGAGGCCGCUCUCAGACAUUGAGUCGUGGAAGCUGGCCCGUGAGCGGAGUCAUCCCAAG
RNAcentral lists this ribosomal RNA (318 nucleotides) under Triticum aestivum (bread wheat). Its description in RNAcentral is "partial small subunit ribosomal RNA". Lineage: Eukaryota; Viridiplantae; Streptophyta; Magnoliopsida; Poales; Poaceae. The record is from RNAcentral.